CCCGCCCGCCGCUCCCCCCACAGCUCUCCGCGCUUUCGGGCCCAAGCACUGCCCCCGGCAGGUGGACGCCCGCCCCUCCCCGGGCUGCCCUCCGCGCCGCGCUACCUCCCCUUCCUCCCCUGGGUCUCGGUCCCGGUGCGUCGGUCCUUUGGUCCCGAGGUCGGCAUGGCGCGCGCCCUGGGGCCCCAGCGACGGCUCCUGGCCAUCUACACCGGCGGCACGAUCGGCAUGCGGAGCGAGCAGGGCGUGCUCGUCCCUGGGAGUGGCCUGGCCGCUGUCCUGAGGUCACUGCCUAUGUUCCAUGAUGAAGAGUACGCCCGGGCCUCUGGCCUCCCGGAGGACACACUGGUGCUGCCAACCACCAACAGCCCCCUUUCAAGUGAGCCUCGGACUCCCCCACCUCGGGGUCCCCAGCACAUGUGGAUGCAAGCUCAUCAAGAGAGGCGGAGGCUGUCUCCCCUCGUGCCCGCCAGCCCCGACCAGAGAGUCAUCUACACGGUGCUGGAGUGCCAGCCCCUCUUUGACUCCAGUGACAUGACCAUCACUGAGUGGGUUCAGAUCGCUCAGACCAUCGAGAGACACUACGGGCAGUACGACGGCUUCCUGGUCAUUCACGGCACGGACACCAUGGCCUUUGCGGCCUCCGUGCUCUCCUUCGUGCUGGAGAACCUGCAGAAAACUGUCAUCCUCACGGGCGCCCAGGUGCCCAUCCAUGCCCUGUGGAACGACGGCCGGGAGAACCUGCUGGGCGCCCUGCUCAUGGCGGGCCAGUACGUGAUCCCCGAGGUUUGCCUCUUCUUCCAGAAUCAGCUGUUUCGGGGCAACCGAGUGACCAAGGUGGACUCACGCAGGUUCGCAGCCUUCUGCUCCCCCCACCUGCCCCCUCUGGCCGUCAUGGGCACCGAUGUCACAAUCAACCGGGAGCUCGUGCGGAAGGCCCGAGGGAAGGCCCGGCUGGUGGUGCACAGCAGCAUGGAGCGCGACGUGGGCCUGCUGCGCCUCUACCCCGGGAUCCCCGCAGCCUUGGUCCGGGCCUUCCUGCAGCCCCCCCUGAAGGGCGUGGUCAUGGAGACCUUCGGCUCGGGGAACGGGCCCACCAAGCCAGACCUGCUGCGGGAGCUCCAGGCUGCGGCCGAGCGGGGCCUCAUCAUCCUCAACUGUUCCCACUGCCUGCAGGGGGCCGUGACCUCUGACUACGCAGCUGGCAUGGCCAUGGCGGGCGCCGGCAUUGUCUCUGGCUUCGACAUGACGUCGGAGGCCGCCCUGGCCAAGCUCUCCUACGUGCUGGGCCACCCUGGGCUAACCCUGGACGACAGGAAAGAGCUGCUGGCCAGGGACCUUCGGGGCGAGAUGACACUGCCCACGGGGGCCGAGCGCCGGCCCUCACUGAGUAGCAGCGCGCUGGGCCGGGGGGCUGCCCAACUCCUCACUCUCAGCCAGGAGGCUGACGCCAUACGGGAGGCACUGCUGCCUAGCCUGGCCUGUGCUGCAGCCCAUGCCGGUGACCUGGAGGUGCUGCAGGCGCUUGGGGACCUGGGCAAUGACCUGAGCCUAGAGAACUUUAACGGUCAAACUCCUCUGCACGCGGCCGCCCGGGGAGGCCAGUCUGGGGCGGUCACCAUGCUGCUGCGGAGAGGGGUGGACGUGGGCCCCCGAGACGAGGACGGACACAGCCCUCUGCUGCUGGCCGUGAAGGGCAGGGUGGCUCCAGGCCUGGCCCAGGCCAGUCGGCCUCUGGAAACCCACAGACGUCGGGGCCUGCUCUGGGACCUUCCGGUUCACGUCUGUCAGUGUCUCAUCCCUGCUCCCCUCCAAGGGCAGAGCGCAGGCCCAGCUGACUCUGCUUCCCCAGGCCCAGCCUUGACUGCAGCGGGCAUCGGGGUGUCAUUGAGCUGCUGCGGGCAGCUGGGGCCUGCCUGUCCCCCCAGGAGCUGGAGGACGCGGGGACAGAGCUGUGCAGGCUGGCGGCCAGGGCAGACCUCGAAGGCCUUCGAUCGUGGUGGCAGGCGGGGGCUGACCUGAGCAGCCCAGGCUACGACGGGCGCAGCGCCCUGUGUAUUGCAGAAGCAGCCGGGAACCUGGAAGUGGUGACCUUCCUGCAGAACCUCGAGGGUGGGGCCGGUGCCCAGGCCCCAGGCCCAGCCACACUGUGAUGCACGCUCUCACGGCGCUGGAAGGCCCCAGCCACGGCUAGGAGGUUCCUAGAGCCCGGAGGGGACCUCAGAUCCUUCUACUUUACGUCCUGCCUGCCCCGACCCCACCCCACCCCACAGGGCCAGUUCCCCACAUGGGGACCCCUUGGCCCAGCGCUCCCCCAUGAUUCCCAGGGUAGAUGGGCCAAGUCCCCAGCUCACACCUCCUUCCCCCACUCCAUCGUCUGACCACCCCGCAGGUUCUCAAGUCACCGGAUUUGCUCCGAUCCUCCGGUCCCUCCCUGGGAAGGGCUGGGCCCUACUGGUGAGGUGCCCGGGCUUGUCUCCCUGCCCCUCCCCCAUACGCUACCUGUGCUGCACGGGAGCAGUCUCCGGAGGCGGCCUAUUUUCAGGAAGUGCUGCCUAGUGUCUAGCCUGAAGCUGUCGUGCUGCAGCACAGAUCGGACCUGCUGGAGGAUCACAGCCCCCCCCCCCCGGACUCUGUGAUGUGUCCCCACUGCUGGGACUGCUUCCCUCUGCUUCCCAGACUGAAGAUUUUGUUGGGCGGAGUGGUAAUAAAAUCUCUCUGGGGACCCCUCCCUAGGUCUGGAA
This is an RNA transcript of Mustela lutreola (European mink), 2744 nucleotides long. It is a transcript of the gene named asparaginase, with no coding region annotated. The transcript is spliced from 18 exons. The record is from RefSeq and is a predicted model, not a curated record. Lineage: Eukaryota; Metazoa; Chordata; Mammalia; Carnivora; Mustelidae.